AAUUUGGGUCAAUGGGCGCAAUCGUGACACAGCCAUGCCGCGAGAGUUAAGUAUGCCUCCGGGAUGUAAAUCUCUUCCGGACGAAAAAAAUUCACCGAGACUACUACCCUGCGCGUAUCUCGGUACCGUUUUUAGAAGCUCCCGACAACGCCGUGUUAGCAUCCGCGGUAAUACGUAGGGUGCGAGCGUUAAUCGGAAUUACUGGGCGUAAAGCGUGCGCAGGCGGUUGAUUAAGACAGGCGUAAAAUCCCCGGGCUUAACCUGGGAACUGCGCUUGUGACUGGUCAGCUAGAGUACGGCAGAGGGGGGUGGAAUUCCACGUGUAGCAGUGAAAUGCGUAGAGAUGUGGAGGAACACCGAUGGCGAAGGCAGCCCCCUGGGCCGAUACUGACGCUCAUGCACGAAAGCGUGGGUAGCAAACAGG
RNAcentral lists this ribosomal RNA (424 nucleotides) under uncultured bacterium. Its description in RNAcentral is "partial 16S ribosomal RNA". It matches the Rfam family "Bacterial small subunit ribosomal RNA", at positions 360 to 776 of the family's 1533-position model. The record is from RNAcentral.